CGGCCUGAGGUGAGUGGUUCUCCUGUGUUGCUCCAAGGGCUCAAUCCUCCUGCCAUCGCCGCCAUCCUGGCCUCGGGGGCGGCGGCCUCCAGGACCCGGUGAGGAGAACUCCCAAGGCUACUAAAUCCUCGCUGGUGGCGAUGGUUUCUUACGCGGGGGGACGUGCUGAGCGCCGACUUUGGAAGCCGGUGCCGAUCGGCCUCUGCUUUUCGCAGAGGAACGUGAUGGGCGGGAGUGAGGACGACCGGGCCCCUCCACUGGUAGGGGCGGGCGGGUGCGGGUCGCCGGUGGUCCAUGCCGACUCCGGACGUCCAGUGUCUAGCGGUAAUCUGUGAAAAUGGUUCGCUAUUCACUUGAUCCGGAGAACCCCACAAAGUCAUGCAAAUCAAGAGGUUCCAAUCUUCGUAUUCACUUUAAGAACACACGUGAAACUGCCCAGGCCAUCAAGGGUAUGCAUAUACGAAAAGCCACGAAGUAUCUGAAAGAUGUCACUUUACAGAAACAGUGCGUACCAUUCCGACAUUACAAUGGUGGAGUUGGCAGGUGUGCCCAGUCCAAGCAAUGGGGCUGGACACAAGGCCGGUGGCCCAAAAAGACUGCUGAAUUUUUGCUGCACAUGCUUAAAAAUGCGGAGAGUAAUGCUGAACUUAAGGGUUUAGAGGCAGAUUCUCUGGUCAUUGAGCGUAUCCAAGUGAACAAAGCACCCAAGAUGCGCCGCCGGAACUACAGAGCUCACGGUCGAAUUAACCCGUACAUGAGUUCUCCCUGCCACAUUGAGAUGAUCCUUACUGAAAAGGAACAGAUUGUUCCUAAACCAGAAGAGGAGGUUGCCCAGAAGAAGAAGAUAUCCCAGAACAAACUGAAGAAACAAAAACUUAUGGCACGGGAGUAAAUUCAGUGUACAAAAAA
Sapajus apella (tufted capuchin) is the source of this 909-nucleotide RNA transcript. It is a transcript of the gene named 60S ribosomal protein L17 pseudogene, with no coding region annotated. The record is from RefSeq and is a predicted model, not a curated record. The transcript has a single exon. Lineage: Eukaryota; Metazoa; Chordata; Mammalia; Primates; Cebidae.